GAUGAACGCUGGCUACAGGCUUAACACAUGCAAGUCGAGGGGAAACGACGGGGAAGCUUGCUUCCUUGGGCGUCGACCGGCGCACGGGUGAGUAACGCGUAUCCAACCUGCCUCUGACUGAGGGAUAACCCGUCGAAAGUCGGCCUAAUACCUCAUGGCAUCGUCUGCGGGCAUCCAACGACGAUUAAAGAUUUCAUCGGUCAGGGAUGGGGAUGCGUCUGAUUAGCUUGUUGGCGGGGUAACGGCCCACCAAGGCUACGAUCAGUAGGGGUUCUGAGAGGAAGGUCCCCCACAUUGGAACUGAGACACGGUCCAAACUCCUACGGGAGGCAGCAGUGAGGAAUAUUGGUCAAUGGGCGAGAGCCUGAACCAGCCAAGUAGCGUGCAGGAUGACGGCCCUAUGGGUUGUAAACUGCUUUUAUGCGGGGAUAAAGUGAGGGACGUGUCCUUCAUUGCAGGUACCGCAUGAAUAAGGACCGGCUAAUUCCGUGCCAGCAGCCGCGGUAAUACGGAAGGUCCUGGCGUUAUCCGGAUUUAUUGGGUUUAAAGGGAGCGUAGGCCGUGGAUUAAGCGUGUUGUGAAAUGCAGGUGCUCAACGUCUGCACUGCAGCGCGAACUGGUCCACUUGAGUGUGCGCAACGCAGGCGGAAUUCGUCGUGUAGCGGUGAAGUGCUUAGAUAUGACGAAGAACUCCGAUUGCGAAGGCAGCCUGCGGGAGCACAACUGACGCUGAAGCUCGAAAGUGCGGGUAUCGAACAGG
RNAcentral lists this ribosomal RNA (760 nucleotides) under uncultured Prevotella sp. Its description in RNAcentral is "bacterial SSU rRNA". It matches the Rfam family "Bacterial small subunit ribosomal RNA", at positions 28 to 776 of the family's 1533-position model. Lineage: Bacteria; Pseudomonadati; Bacteroidota; Bacteroidia; Bacteroidales; Prevotellaceae. The record is from RNAcentral.